GAUGAACGCUGGCGGCGUGCCUAAUACAUGCAAGUCGAGCGAACGGACGAGAAGCUUGCUUCUCUGAUGUUAGCGGCGGACGGGUGAGUAACACGUGGAUAACCUACCUAUAAGACUGGGAUAACUUUGGGAAACCGGAGCUAAUACCGGAUAAUAUUUUGAACCGCAUGGUUCAAAAGUGAAAGACGGUCUUGCUGUCACUUAUAGAUGGAUCCGCGCUGCAUUAGCUAGUUGGUAAGGUAACGGCUUACCAAGGCAACGAUGCAUAGCCGACCUGAGAGGGUGAUCGGCCACACUGGAACUGAGACACGGUCCAGACUCCUACGGGAGGCAGCAGUAGGGAAUCUUCCGCAAUGGGCGAAAGCCUGACGGAGCAACGCCGCGUGAGUGAUGAAGGUCUUCGGAUCGUAAAACUCUGUUAUUAGGGAAGAACAUAUGUGUAAGUAACUGUGCACAUCUUGACGGUACCUAAGCAGAAAGCCACGGCUAACUACGU
This 496-nucleotide ribosomal RNA is filed under the name uncultured bacterium. RNAcentral's name for it is "partial 16S ribosomal RNA". It matches the Rfam family "Bacterial small subunit ribosomal RNA", at positions 28 to 506 of the family's 1533-position model. The record is from RNAcentral.